Molecule: ribosomal RNA, 369 nt
Filed under: Triticum aestivum (bread wheat)
Lineage: Eukaryota; Viridiplantae; Streptophyta; Magnoliopsida; Poales; Poaceae
Description: partial small subunit ribosomal RNA
Source: RNAcentral
AUGGGUGGAAAUCAACAGGAGAGGUAUCAGGCUGGGAUGAGUGAGAAUAGGCAGGAAAGUGGGUCUAUGGCUAAUAAUGCAAAUAUACAACAGAUGGGAACGCAGGGAGGACCGGUCCAGUUGGCAGGGGCUUUUCCUAUGAUGAGCAACAGUGGUUUCCCUCAGAUUGUGCCAGUGGGGAUGGGGCUUGGGCGGUUUGGUUUCAUGCCACAAGAGCAAAUGGCACAGCAAUAUCAGUUUCUUCUCUCCAAUAUGCCAAAACAGGAAAUUCUACAGACACAAGGAGGUGCAAGAGUGGAAGGAGCUAAAGAGAUGACAAAAAAGAAGAAAACAGGAAAUCCCAAGGAGCUGGCCAUCUCACAAUACUGA